RNAcentral lists this ribosomal RNA (435 nucleotides) under uncultured Lachnospiraceae bacterium. RNAcentral describes it as "bacterial SSU rRNA". It matches the Rfam family "Bacterial small subunit ribosomal RNA", at positions 341 to 792 of the family's 1533-position model. The record is from RNAcentral. Lineage: Bacteria; Bacillati; Bacillota; Clostridia; Lachnospirales; Lachnospiraceae.
ACGGGAGGCAGCAGUGGGGAAUAUUGCACAAUGGGGGGAAACCCUGAUGCAGCGACGCCGCGUGAGCGAAGAAGUAUUUCGGUAUGUAAAGCUCUAUCAGCAGGGAAGAAAAUGACGGUACCUGACUAAGAAGCUCCGGCUAAAUACGUGCCAGCAGCCGCGGUAAUACGUAUGGAGCAAGCGUUAUCCGGAUUUACUGGGUGUAAAGGGAGCGUAGACGGGACAGCAAGUCUGAUGUGAAAGGCGGGGGCUCAACCCCUGGACUGCAUUGGAAACUGUUGACCUUGAGUGCCGGAGAGGUAAGCGGAAUUCCUAGUGUAGCGGUGAAAUGCGUAGAUAUUAGGAAGAACACCGGUGGCGAAGGCGACUUACUGGACUGUAACUGACACUGAAGUACGAAAGCGUGGGGAGCAAACAGGAUUAGAUACCCUGGUA